This 677-nucleotide ribosomal RNA is filed under the name uncultured Alphaproteobacteria bacterium. RNAcentral describes it as "bacterial SSU rRNA". It matches the Rfam family "Bacterial small subunit ribosomal RNA", at positions 29 to 754 of the family's 1533-position model. The record is from RNAcentral. Lineage: Bacteria; Pseudomonadati; Pseudomonadota; Alphaproteobacteria.
ACGAACGCUGGCGGCAGGCUACACAUGCAGUCGAGCGCGCCUUCGGGCGAGCGGCGGACGGGUUAGUAACGCGUGGGAACGUGCCCAGAUCUACGGAAUAGCCACUGGAAACGGUGAGUAAUACCGUAUACGCCCUUCGGGGGAAAGAUUUAUCGGAUUUGGAUCGGCCCGCGUUAGAUUAGGUAGUUGGUGGGGUAACGGCCUACCAAGCCUACGAUCUAUAGCUGGUUUUAGAGGAUGAUCAGCAACACUGGGACUGAGACACGGCCCAGACUCCUACGGGAGUGCAGCAGUGGGGAAUCUUGGACAAUGGGGGCAACCCUGAUCCAGCCAUGCCGCGUGAGUGAAGAAGGCCCUAGGGUCGUAAAACUCUUUCGCCUGUGAUGAUAAUGACAGUAGCAGGUAAAGAAGCCCCGGCUAACUCCGUGCCAGCAGCCGCGGUAAUACGGAGGGGGUUAGCGUUGUUCGGAAUUACUGGGCGUAAAGCGCACGUAGGCGGAUUAGAAAGUUAGAGGUGAAAUCCCAGGGACUCAACCCUGGAACUGCCUUUAAAACUACUAGUCUAGAGUUCGAGAGAGGUGAGUGGAAUUCCGAGUGUAGAGGUGAAAUUCGUAAGAUAUUCGGAGGAACACCAGUGGCGAAGGCGGCUCACUGGCUCGAUACUGACGCUGAGGUGC